AAUUUUCCAGUUUGCCGAUCUCUACACUGGAAGACUACACCGUAGCUACCCUCCCCAAGACGCGCCAGUCGUUCGUAUCGUUCCAUCGCCUUGCUCGGCGCGCGUGACCUACAAAAAAGUAAUUUUGAAAUAAUAUACCGCCGACGAGGAAUUUGAAGUGUAUAGAAAAAGUGUAUAGAAAUUCGAAAUCAAAAGUUUUAUCAUUUGUAAUGAUUGAGCCAAGUAAAAAGACAGAUUGAGGAUUGUUUUUAUCACAAGGAUUGUUUGUAUCAAGGAAAGAACAGAGAAACAUUUAGAGUUUCUAGAAUGAAGAAAUACCAAAAAUGCGUCUUACGUCUGUACUUUCGUGUAAUAAUCUAAGGAAGUAAAUGCUUCCAUAAAAGUAGAAAUGAAUACUCUUUAUUUCUACUUUUAAUUCAGUAAUAAGGAGUAUAUUUUUUCUUCAACUCCUUUUACGUGCGUCUACGUGUGUCAUUAAAAAAGUGGUUUACUAUCAACGUUGUUACGAUGAAAAUUUAUAAUAUACUUAUCGAUUUUGGACAUGUAAAACCGAGUUCGACAUAAACUGGGUUGCACGAUUCGUGACCCUUUUUUUAUUUUUUUUUUUUUUUUAUUUUACACAGAAUUACAUGUUAGAGCCUCCCUUUACACAAAUAUACAGAACGUGUAUGCGUUAGUCGCGACGUGGUCCCUGCAUUUGCAAGAACGAAAUAUUUCUUACUGUAUACGUAGAAUAAAUUCGCGUUUCCUCGACCAGCAUUUACGAAUAAAAUUUCAUGUAAUGUUCAAAUGAGACAGAGAGAACCUUUUUGACAAAGUUGGAUUGAAACAAACUUAGAUUAUUUUACAAAAUUCGCUUCUCUUGCCUCAAAUACAGUUGAAUCAUUAUAAUGUAAUUCGUGUAUCGUAAAAUUGAGAGUUCAUGCAUAAAACAUUUCCAAUGCAAUACAUUAUACAAUUUUACAUGUCUACGUUACGUUUUUACAAUGGAAGGAGUACAGAAUAUGUACUUUCUGCUCGAUUUUCUGGGGUAUAUACAUACAUGAACCUUGGUUUUUUUCUCUGGCAGUUUUGUUUUCCGAUUUUUUUCAAAUACAAUCGUUACCACGAAAAUUGAGAGUCAAUGUUUCGUCGUGAGACUACAAUUUAUACAAUCGUAGAAAAUCCAAUGUGAAACAGUUGCGUGUACGAAGAUUGGUAGAAUAGAUGAUUAUGUA
This is a long non-coding RNA of Frieseomelitta varia, 1217 nucleotides long. RefSeq lists it as uncharacterized. Lineage: Eukaryota; Metazoa; Arthropoda; Insecta; Hymenoptera; Apidae. The record is from RefSeq and is a predicted model, not a curated record. The transcript is spliced from 2 exons.